This 73-nucleotide transfer RNA is filed under the name Acidimicrobiia bacterium. Its description in RNAcentral is "tRNA-Arg". It matches the Rfam family "tRNA". From Rfam's summary of the family: Transfer RNA (tRNA) molecules are approximately 80 nucleotides in length. Their secondary structure includes four short double-helical elements and three loops (D, anti-codon, and T loops). Lineage: Bacteria; Bacillati; Actinomycetota; Acidimicrobiia. The record is from RNAcentral.
GCCCCCGUAGCUCAGGGGAUAGAGCAACCGCCUCCUAAGCGGUAGGUCGCAGGUUCGAAUCCUGCCGGGGGCG